AAGGUAAGCAUGCAUGAUUCCCUCAGGAUGGAGCCAGAUAAGUAUGGACCAUUCAUUCAGGAUGCAGCCAGGUCAGAAUGAACCAUUAUUUCAGGAUAAAGCCAGGUGAGCAUGGACCAUUUCUUCAUGAGGCAGCCAGGUAAGCACAGACUUUUCCUUCAGGAUACAGCCAGGUAAAUGUGAACAAUUCCUUUAGGUUGGAGCUGGAUAAGCAUUAACAAUAUUUUUCAGAAUGCUGCCAGGUAAGCAUGAACCAUUCCUUCAGGAUGAAGCCAGGUAAGUGUGGACCAUUUUUUGAGGAUACAGCCAUAGGUAAGCGUGAACCAUUCCUUCAGGAUGGACUCAGGUAAGCAUGGACAAUUCCUUCAGGAUGGAGCCAGGUAAGUGUGCACAAUUCCUUCAGGAUGGAGCCAGGUAAGUGUGCACAAUUCCUUCAGGAUGCAGCCAGGUAAGUGUGCACAAUUCCUUCGGGAUGGAGCCACGUUAGCAUGAACCACGUUUUCCAGACUGUAGCCAGGUAAGCAUGUACCAUUAUUUCAGGAUGCAGCCAGGUAAGUAUGAACCAUGUUUUUCAGACUCUAGCCAGAUAAGUAUGGACCAUUCUUUCAGGAUGCAGCCAGGUAAGCAUGGACCAUGCUUUCAGAUGGAGUCAGGUAAGCAUGUACCAUUCCUUUACAAUGCAGCCAGGUAAGUGCGGACUAUUCCCUCAGGAUGGAGCCAGGUAAGUGUGAACCAUUCUGUCAGGAUGCAGCCAGGUAAGCAUGGACCAUUCUGUCAGGAUGUAGCCUGGUAAGCAUGAAUCAUUCUUAGGGAUGGAGUCAGAUAAGCACACCCCAUUCCUUCAGAAUGCAGCUAGGUAAGCGUGGACCAUUCCUUCAAGAUGGUGCCAGGUAAGUGUGGACCAUUCCUUCAGAAUGCAGCCAGGUAUGCAGAGACCAUUUUUUCAGGAUGCAGGCAAGAAAGUACAAACCAUUCCUUCAGGAUGCAGCCAGGUAAGUGUGCACAGUUUCUUCAGGAUGGAGCCAGAGGUAAGCAUGAACCAUUCCUUCAGAAUGCAUCCAGGUAAGCAUGGACCAGUUUUUAAGGAUACAGUCAGGUAAGUAUGAUACAUACCUUCAGGAUACAGCCAGGUAAGCAUGAACAAUUCCUUCAGGAUGCCACCAGGUAAGCAUGAACCAUUUCAUCAGGAUGGAGCCAGAUAAGCAUGAACAAUUCCAUCAGGAUGGAGCAAGGUAAAUGUGGACCCAUUCUUUCAGGAUGGAGCCAGGUAAGCAUGGACCCUUUCCUCAGGAUGGAGCAAGGUAAGCAUUGACCAUUCCUUCAGGAUUCAGCCAGUUAAGCAGGGACCAUUCCUUCAGAAUGAAGCUAGGUAAUAAUGGACCAUUCAUUCAGGAUGCAUCCUGGUAAGCAUGAAUUAUUCCUUCAGGAUGCAACCAGGUAAGUAUGAACCAUUCCUUCAAGAUGGAGGCAGGUAGGCAUGGACCACUACUUCAGGAUGCAGGCAGGUAAGGUGGACCAUUCCUUCAGUGUGGAGCCAGGUAAGUGUGGACCAUUUCUUCAGGAUGGUGCCAGGUAAUCAUGGACCAUUCUUUCAGGAUACAGCCAGGAAAGGGUGGACCACUUUUUAAGGAUACAGCCACGUAAAUACGAUACAUACUUUCAGGAUAAAGCCAGGUAAGCAUGAACAAUUCCUUCAGAAUGCAGACAUGUAGGCAGAGAGCAACCCUUCAGGUUGGAGCCAGGUAAACAUGAACCAUUCCUCCAUGAUGAAGCCAGUUAAGCAUAGGCAAUUCCUUUAGGAUGGAGCCAGGUAAGCAUGGGCCAUUCUUUCAUGAUGCAGUCAGGUAAGCAUGAACCAUUCCUUCAAGAUGGAGCCAGCUAGGCAUGGACCAUUCCUUCAUGAUGCAGCCAGGUAAGCAUGAACCAUUACUUCACCAUGGAGUGAGGUAAACACGAACCGUUCCUUCAGGAUGAAUCCUGAUAAGUAUGGACCUUUCUUUUAGUGUGUAGCCUCAUAAGAGUGGACCACUCCUUCAGGAUGGACCCAGGUAAGUGUCAACCAUUCCUUCCUAAUGCAGCAUGGUAAGCAUGGAUCACUCAUUCAGGAUGCAGCCAGGUAAGCACAAAACAUUCUUUCUGGACGGAGCCAGGUAAGCGUGGACCAUUCUGUCAGGAUGCAGCCAGGUAAGCAUGGACCAUUCCGUCAGGAUGCAGCCAGGUAAGCAUGAACCAUUUCUUCAGGAUGGAGUCAGAUAAGCAUGUACCAUUUUUUCAGAAUGCAGCCAGGUAACUGUGGACGAUUCCCUCAGGAUGGGCCCAGGUAAGCAUGGACCAUUCCCUCAGCAUGGAGCCAGGUAAGCUUGCACCAUUCCUUAAGAAUGGAUCCAUGUAAGCAUAAACCAUUUCAUCAGGAUGCAGCCAGGUAAGCAUGAACCAUUCUGUCAGGAUACAGCCAGGUAAGAGUGGACCAUUCUGUCAGGAUACAGCCAGGUAAGCAUGGACCAUUCUUUCAGAUGGUGUCGGGUAAGCAUGAACCAUUUUUUCAGGAUGCAGUCAGAAACUAUGAACCAUCCCCUCAGGAUGGAGCCAGGUAAGCAUGGACCAUUCCUUCAGGAUAGUGCCAGGUAGAUGUGGAUCUUUCCCACAGGACGGAGCCAGGUAAGCAUGGACCAUUCCUUCAGGAUGCAGCCAGGUAAGCAUGGACCAUUCCUUCAGGAUAGUGUGAGGUAGGUGUGGACCUUUCCUUCAGGAUGGAGCCAGGUAAGUGUAGACCAUUCCAUCAGGAUGCAACUUGGUAAGCAUGAGCCAUUUCUUAAGGAUGGAGUCAGAUAAGCAUGUACCAUUCCUUCUGAAUGCAGCCAGAUAAGUGUGGGCCAUUCCUUCAGGAUGCAGCCAGGUAACCAUGGACCAUUCCUUCUGGAUGGAGGUAGGUAUGUAUGCACCUUUUUCUCAGGGUGGAGCUCCUGGAUGCAGCCAGGUAAGCGUGGACCGUUCCUUCAAGAUGGAGCCAUCAAACAUGCAGAUAACCCCACAGCACCCUUGCUCCAGUUGACUGGGUUUGGUAACAUGGUGGCAAAACCAAAAACUUGUAAACCAGUAGAAAAAUGUUUUUUAGCUCAUGAGUCCUCUUCGGGCCAAGCUCAGAAGCUGGUGCCAUUGGUCAGCCUCCCUUCGUGGUUGGAGUUCUUCUCCCACAUCAGCUUCUGCCAGGGCGUGUGCCUGUGCGGCCCGAGUCCCGUGUUCCUGUGAGCUGAACUUGGCAGGGAAGGCUGCUCUGAGGCAGACACCACAGCAACAUCGGUGCCUGGGGAACUUCAGAUCCAAGGGCACCUGAAGACCUGGUUCCCACCCGGCUCCCUUCUCCUGUAACCCACCACGAUGUGGGCGGCCUCGAAGAAGGCCCACGAGCAACACACCGAGUGCUCCAGGGAAGCAAGAGCACACACCAGGCAGGAUUCACAAUCAAGACAAGGUGAUGACGGACAGGCAUGCACACACGAGCACGUGGAACACACAGUGUGUCUGGCUGCAGGAGAAGAAUCCAGUUUUCAGCAGGUGAAUGCAGAGAAGCCCUGCUGCUCAGGACAAAGAAUGUUUCCGGAAUGAACCAUGUUUGCAGCCCUCCAUUGCCCAGGAUGAACGGCGUCCCCAGGUGCCUGGCCCUUUUAUCACCCAGGCCGAUGGUACAUCCAGAGGGAGCCGUGGCUCAGCCCCCAAGUGAGGCCAGCAAUGGCCAGGAAGAAGCUUAUUCAACGGGAUUCUCUGCAGAGUUUUUCUGACUUUCAGCUUGCAGGGAUGUGGGUAUAGAAAACAAGAGGCUGACUUCUCAAUCAAUCAUCACUUAAGGAUGCAGAGCCAGUGGAAGCCCUUCUUUCAUGACUUUUAGCAUUUUUUCUUCAUUUUCAGAAAAUCCACACCAUCUCCGUAUAUGCGUGCAUGCAUGAGUGUCCGUCUGCCCCUUAACUGUGGGGUUAAGAAUAAUGUGAUUACUCAUGCUGGAAAAACAAGACAAUUACCAUCAUAAAAGCCCACAUAAUUUACAGAUCUUGGAACUUGAACUUUCUUUAAAAGAUAAAUAUAGUAGUUUACAUUUUG
Molecule: long non-coding RNA, 4095 nt
Filed under: Pongo abelii (Sumatran orangutan)
Lineage: Eukaryota; Metazoa; Chordata; Mammalia; Primates; Hominidae
Description: lincRNA
Source: RNAcentral